RNAcentral lists this long non-coding RNA (255 nucleotides) under Lathyrus oleraceus (garden pea). Its description in RNAcentral is "Pisum sativum (pea) long non-coding RNA (PSAT_LNC018337)". Lineage: Eukaryota; Viridiplantae; Streptophyta; Magnoliopsida; Fabales; Fabaceae. The record is from RNAcentral.
GAUAAUUGAGGAUAGGGAUCCAUGUGUUUUCCAAUUGGGAUCACUGAUUAACUUGAAUUAAAGGUUACGAUUGGACCAAAGAAACACAACAUUGUUAACCAAAUUAAAAAUGCCUAGAAUAUCCCUUCUAGAAGCUUUAAUCAAUUUAAAUCAAUUAAAUUAAAUAAAUUUCACAUUUUUUAUAUAAACAUGAUAAAAUUAAAAUGAGAGCAUGAUUAUACCUAUUUAAUUUUUUUUGAUUUUUUUUUACAAAAG